This 253-nucleotide ribosomal RNA is filed under the name uncultured bacterium. Its description in RNAcentral is "partial 16S ribosomal RNA". It matches the Rfam family "Bacterial small subunit ribosomal RNA", at positions 524 to 776 of the family's 1533-position model. The record is from RNAcentral.
UACGUAGGGCGCAAGCGUUGUCCGGAAUUAUUGGGCGUAAAGAGCUCGUAGGCGGCUUGUCACGUCGGGUGUGAAAGCCCGGGGCUUAACCCCGGGUCUGCAUUCGAUACGGGCUAGCUAGAGUGUGGUAGGGGAGAUCGGAAUUCCUGGUGUAGCGGUGAAAUGCGCAGAUAUCAGGAAGAACACCCGUGGCGAAGGCGGUUCUCUGGGACGGUACUGACGCUGAGACGCGAAAGCGUGGGGAGCGAACAGG